This 440-nucleotide ribosomal RNA is filed under the name uncultured bacterium. RNAcentral's name for it is "partial 16S ribosomal RNA". It matches the Rfam family "Bacterial small subunit ribosomal RNA", at positions 338 to 795 of the family's 1533-position model. The record is from RNAcentral.
UCUACGGGUGGCAGCAGUGGGGAAUAUUGGACAAUGGGGGAAACCCUGAUCCAGCGACGCCGCGUGAGUGAAGAAGUAUUUCGGUACGUAAAGCUCUAUCAGCAGGAAAGAAAAUGACGGUACCUGACUAAGACGCCCCGGCUAACUACGUGCCAGCAGCCGCGGUAAUACGUAGGGGGCAAGCGUUAUCCGGAUUUACUGGGUGUAAAGGGGGCGUAGACGGAAGCGCAAGUCUGGAGUGAAAUGCCGGGGCUCAACCCCGGAACUGCUCUGGAAACUGUGAAGCUGGAGUGCAGGAGAGGGAAGCGGAAUUCCUGGGGUAGCGGUGAAAAGGGUAGAUAUCAGGAGGAACACCGGAGGCGAAGGCGGCUUACUGGACUGUAACUGACGUUGAGGCUCGAAGGCGUGGGGAGCAAACAGGAUUAGAAACCCGGGUAGUC